ACCAAUACCAAUACCAACAUGGAGAGGAAAUCACUGGGCCUUUUCGUCUUGCUUCUUAUUGCCUUUGCCACUCAUAGAGCGAAAGAGGAAUUUCAACACGAAUACCAAUACCAAUACCAACAUGGAGAGGAAAUCGCUGGGCCUUUUCGUCUUGCUUCUUAUUGCCUUCGCCACUCAUCAGAUGGUGGUGCCGGCGGAGGGGAAAGUGUGCGAGGCACCUAGCGGCAAAUUCCAUGGGCUAUGCUUCCUUGAAAAGAACUGCUAUGAUGUGUGCACGAAGAAGGAACAUCUUCUGAGCGGCUUUUGCAGAAAUGGGAUGUGUUACUGCAGGAGGAAUUGCUAAUUAAUUAUUAAGAAGAUGGAUCCCACUCCCACUCUCCACUAUCCACUGCAUGUUCAUGUAAUAAAGGCCGUUUUGUAGGUUGCUUAUACUCAAGUCGGCCGCUGUCAUAUUUAACUGAUGGUUAAAUAAAGCGAGAUGGGAUCUUUGUCCUGUUUAAGUUAA
This is a long non-coding RNA of Malania oleifera, 505 nucleotides long. RefSeq lists it as uncharacterized. The record is from RefSeq and is a predicted model, not a curated record. The transcript is spliced from 3 exons. Lineage: Eukaryota; Viridiplantae; Streptophyta; Magnoliopsida; Santalales; Ximeniaceae.